RNAcentral lists this unclassified non-coding RNA (253 nucleotides) under uncultured Bacillota bacterium. Its description in RNAcentral is "uncultured Firmicutes bacterium contains 16S-23S intergenic spacer region". It matches the Rfam family "Bacterial small subunit ribosomal RNA", at positions 524 to 776 of the family's 1533-position model. The record is from RNAcentral. Lineage: Bacteria; Bacillati; Bacillota.
AACGUAGGGGGCAAGCGUUGUCCGGAAUUACUGGGCGUAAAGGGUGCGUAGGCGGCCAAUUAAGUCCUGUGUGAAAGGCCCCGGCUUAACCGGGGAGGGCCAUGGGAAACUGAUUGGCUUGAGUACCGGAGAGGGCUGCGGAAUUCCAGGUGUAGCGGUGAAAUGCGUAGAGAUCUGGAAGAACACCAGUGGCGAAGGCGGCAGCCUGGACGGUAACUGACGCUGAGGCACGACAGCUGGGGGAGCGAACAGG